UGUAAACAUAUGGCCUUGGUAAACAUCAUAUCAGUCUCUGUGCUGGUAAAAGCUAGUUAUUUCUUUGAAUUGUGGUGGAGUUUUGGUUCAGUAGUCUGGGCGUGGCGCAGCCAGAGCAGCUCUGCGCUCCAAGGUCCUGUGGUGGUGAGCGUCUCGCCUCACCAGAGAUGGACUGGCGAUGGAUGCCAAGAUGCCAGCUUUCAAACACCAGGUCCCAGAAUCAAUGUGUCUCCGGAAUGGCACGACAGAAAGUCCGACCCGCCUACGAGCUGCUGUCUGCUUCGUGCGGUCUGGCCGCACAGACGUACUCGGUGCAUGCCCGGAAAGGAGAAAGAGACAGCCUUCCUCUUCACCAUUGACAGCGGCAUGGACGUCCUCAACAGCGGCCAUCCGAGGGACGCCAAAACACUGCGGAGAGGCUGCUCCGGCACUCUCGGGCAGGAGGACGCCCUCUCUAAGCUGGUGGAAGAGGUGGAGGGACUGCGCUUCGGCUCAGCUGGUCACCUCCUCCAGUUCCAGAAGGGUCUAGUAGUGACAGUGAAGGUAGAGCGGGGUCUGCUCGCUGACGUGCAGCAGCGUUUUGGCCCGGGCUGCUAACUGCUGCUCCGCCACGUCACCCAGAACCGACUUUAGGGCUCGUUCAGCCACAUCCGCGGCUCUGGCGGCGGAAGCCCCAACCCCACGACGACAGAGGUGAAGGGGCGCCUCCGCCUGUUCACUCUGAUCCAGCUUGCGCGUCACGGGCCCACGGCGUGCAGAUUAAGAGUUGCUCACCCGCGGCGCUCCCGGUACCAGCGGCGGAGGUGGAGGCGGGGGCAGAGCCGGAGGCAGACGAGGACCAAGCCGACCAGGCGCAGAUGGUGUGCUGGAGGCGGUAUGCCCUGAGCCGCCCCAAGAAGUUCCUGAGGGGACGGAGAGCCUGGAGCCCGUUCCUGACGAGCCAGCCCCGGACGCAGAGGAGGAGGCGGAGCAGGAGAGGGCGCAGCUACUGCGGGAGGCCGAGACAGUGCAUAUACCGCCUGCGCCCUCAGCGGCGCUGGACGCUGAGAUUGGUGUGCCGGCCACCGAAGGUGCAAUGGCGCAUCUGGUUGGCUACAUCGCCAGAAAAUGCGGCCCCAGCUUCGGCGCGCUGGCGAUGGCAUCUGAGGACGCGCCCGUUCAGACGCUCUGGACUCGACUGCGCAGCGCGGCCGGCGGACUCACGAUCCCCUCCCAGCCCUGCUUAGACCUGUUUAAUCAGCUCGAGGCGGAGUUCAUAUAUGUUUCACGUGUUCGCUGAAGUGUCUUGAAAAUGCUUAAAUGUGUGCCAUUCGUGAUUUGCCUGAUGAUGCAGUACAAAACGCGUUGCAGUUAAUAUAGCUGAUGAUAUGUAAAUGCAGUCUACAUCCAUAUCGUGCUCAAAUAAUGUAGCGCACAAGCUACCCUGAGGUAGGUUUUGAAUUCACCGAAUUUUCCAGUCGACUGUUCAGAUGGAAAUCAACUUGAGUACCCUGGUAUGCUGAGUAUGUUUUCGUAUUGUUACAUAGCGUACCGUCGGACAGAAUGGAGUGCUAUGCUGCUGUGACAUUCAUCGAACCUCCCGUUUGUGCAUGUGUGCACUUUCACAUAUCGUGCUAUCUGAAAUUGAAUCGACCUAUGCCGCUGUGCCGCUGCCUGGGUUGCCGGCGACAGCGGCGGGGCGCAUCUGAUCGGCACAAUGUUACAGAUCAGGAUCCGUCCUGCAGUCUGGAGGUAGUCGGACCGGUGUUUGUCUAGCCAGAUGUACUCCAUCGAAUCACUGAUGUUCAUCUGUAAGGCUGUGUUCUUGCCUAAUGCUGCUUCCACCCAUUCAGUCCGUUUUGAAUUGUAAUAGAGGAAGCCAGAUGUCAUAGAUGUCUUCGUUUAAGGGAUUGUUUUCGCAUGUCAUGCAUCGGAAAUACAAUCAAAAUAGAAUUAA
This 1936-nucleotide long non-coding RNA is filed under the name Amphibalanus amphitrite. RNAcentral describes it as "uncharacterized LOC122384408". The record is from RNAcentral. Lineage: Eukaryota; Metazoa; Arthropoda; Thecostraca; Balanomorpha; Balanidae.